CGAGCGCGACGUUCUCCCGGCGCCGCGGAGGGGCAGGUUCUCGGUGCGGCCUCGCCAGGCGCCCCCGCAGCCUCCACUCCAGCUCCACGUGGCCCCUCCUCCGCCCCGGGCUCCGCGCUCUGCAAAGCCGCGGCCCCUUCGCACCGGACUCCCGCCCCGUCUCCCGCCCCGGCCCCGUCGUCGGUGACUGAGCGGCCCCCGGAGCUCCCGGGGCAAAGGCGAGACUCGCACGUCGCACCUCGCCCUUCGCGGGCAACGGCCCGAGCGACAGUCCCCGGAGCGGGGCGCGGGUGCGCUCUCCGGGGGCGCGCGGGGGUCGCCCAGGACCGGGAACCGCAGGACUCACGCGGGUCCCGCGCUCCCCCGCCCGGCCCGGCUCCAGCCCGCGGCCCCGGCCCCGCCGCCCGCCCCGCCCCAGGCCCCGCCCCGGACCGUUCUAUAAAGUUCCUCUUUCCCACCUCGCGCUCUCAGUUCCACCGCUCGGGCUCGACCCACCGCUGCCCUCAGCUCCGAGUCCAGGGCGAGGUAAGGCUGGAGGCGGCCGGAGGAGGGUGCGAGCCGGAGGUUCCGUCUCCAGGGCAGCGCGGGGUACCCGGCUUCGGGGCGGGCAGGGAGCGCGCCCGGUCCCGGAGCCCCGACUCCCCCCAUCCGCGCCGAGCGGGGGCUCCAGGGUCCACCCGGAGCGCGGCCCGAGCCCCGUCCGCUCUGCCCGCUCCCGCGCUGGGGUCGCCACAGGCUGGACGGGAGGAGCUCACGGGACUGUCGGGCCCAGGAGUGGCUGAGGCGGGGCCGUCCAAGGCACCCACGCGAGACGGCACAAUUGCCCGCGAGAAACAGCGCCGAGCCUGUGGACCCCGGUCCGAAGCUCCUUCCCCUGCUCUCCGUUCCCAGGGGGCCCAAACUCACCGCGCCCGCCAGGGCAGGAGGAGGACGCGCUGCACACUCGGGUCGCCCCGAGCCCGGCGUGCGCUGGCCCAGCCGGCCUGGCGCGGUCCUGCCUCCCCGGCUCCGCUCUCCCGGGCCUGCUCCGGGGUCGCGCGGGCGCUCUGCACGCGGAAUCCCCGGCCACUGGGCUGCAGCCCCCGCGUCGCCGCCACUUGUUUGCAGAGCCCACUCGGUCCUCGCUGGCUGGGCGGGGAUGGGGCCCUGUUCGGGGCGAAGGGUCUGGGUGCCAGCAGAGAAGGCGGAGGGUGGAGGAGCCCGGUGCUGCGCCCCUGGAACGCCCGGCCGCAGGCGAGGUCCCGGGGCGUGGAAAGUGACAGAGUGGCGGGGACGGGGCUAAAACGGUUUGGGAGUGAGCGAGGAGAAGCCAGAGCUACCGGGGAGUGCGGACGGGGGGCCGGAGGGGGCGGCUGGAGGGCGGAGGGUGCAAAACCAGCGGCGUGUGUCGGGAGCCUUUGGGCCGCGGGUGCGUCCCAGGAGCGCACAGGUGGAGCCGCGGGCAGGGGCCUUCGCGGGGGCCGAGCUCGGAAGGCG
Molecule: long non-coding RNA, 1476 nt
Filed under: Papio anubis (olive baboon)
Lineage: Eukaryota; Metazoa; Chordata; Mammalia; Primates; Cercopithecidae
Description: lncRNA (ENSPANG00000048586.1)
Source: RNAcentral